RNAcentral lists this long non-coding RNA (1228 nucleotides) under Homo sapiens (human). RNAcentral's name for it is "HSALNT0359025". The record is from RNAcentral. Lineage: Eukaryota; Metazoa; Chordata; Mammalia; Primates; Hominidae.
CUUGCUAUGUUGUCCAGGCUGGUCUCCAAUUCCUGGCCUCAAGCAAUCCUCCCGUCUCAGGCUCCCAAGGUACAGGGAUUAUGGGAGUGAGCCACCACACCGGGACUGAUCUUUCUAACACAGGGAAAUUGUAUUCUUUAGAAGUGAGGGAAUAUUUCCUAGUAAUUUGAUCAAGUAAAAAUAAUUAUAAUAAAGAAGGUAAAAUCAAGCCCUAAUUCCCCAUGUAGGGGAAUAAUGAUAUCAUUUUGGUAAGAUUCUUCCAGACAGUAUGAUUAGGAUGUUACAUAAAUCAAACUGUGCUAUAUACAGUAUGCAGAGAAGGACAAUUCCUUAGCUUGUCUAAAGUCUGAUAGUGUGAAGAAUUUGCUGACCUGCUCUCCAUGCCUGUCUGAGCACGAGUGAAGUGAAUCAGAGAGAGAUUGCAAGAUGGAGAAAGGAGGUACAGUUGGAGAGAGUGGAGGGGGCAGGAAAGACCAGACAGAGCUGCAUCUCCCAUGAAAACAACUGUGUACAUAUGAUAGAGUGAGUACAUAGAGUACAUAGAAGAGUGAGCUCUGAAAGAACUCUCACAUGGACCCCAGAAAGAGGAGUACUCAACGCCUGCUGCACAGAAGGCAUCAGCAGUUAAGUACUGGCUAGAAAAGCAGAGUCCAUCAAAGGAGAGGACCACAGUGGUAGCUGCCUGGAGAGCUGUCCCUGCAAGCUGAACUAUCAGAAGAUGAAGAAUGAGGUCUCCCUGAAAUGCCCACCAUAAGACUGCCAGAUAUGGGACUGCUGGAUGACACUCUGGCUACCCCACUGAGUUUUAUGAAAACAUAACAGAAUAAAGACACUUACUUGUCAACUCAGUUUGAAGGCUGGGAUGAUCAAGGUGCCAGAAAAUUGAGAAUCUAGUGAGGGCUUGCUCUCUGCUUCAAAGAUGACACCUUCUGGCUGUAUCCUGUGGCAGAAGGGGACAAAGAAGCUCCCUCGGGCCACUUCCUUACAAGCUAUUGAGGCACUCCAGAGUGACGGCAUGUGAUCCCCCUGACACAAGAAACAGGCCCAGAUAACACACCGUUCAGACCGACAGCAGUUCUGGUUAUGCUGCAGUACAUCAGAAAAGUGCUCUUAUCCAUCCACAGUUCUUAUCACAGUUACUUAUGCAUAUAUUCAUUUUUUAUAUAAAAGAAUCUUGAAUCGGUCACUUAAAUAUUGAAUCUCAAUAAUAAAAAAUACUAAAAGUAUA